GUGGCCUUACAUGGGGAGACGGUAGUCAGUGGCUGUCACUCUGCUUGUUGGUGCUUUAACAACAGCUGGUUGAGGAGAAAGGGAACAACAAGCAGCAGGAGUUGUUUGGGCGUCGAAGCAAUGCGAUUGGGUUGUGUUUCAUUUCUCCACUGCCAGGGACCUCCAGCCUUCGGCCGGGGGUCCCCUUCUGCCUCCAGCACAGCCCCCGCCGUGAGGGGACUGAGGCCUUGUUUCUAUACCAGCGGCAAGCCCAGAGCCAAGGGAUUUCCCAGCUCGUGGCCAAAAUAGAACUGGCCAGAUUCUUCCCACUAGUGUCCCAUGACUCAAAGCAAGCAGCCAACCAGCCACUCCCUCCAGGAUACUGCCAGCCGUGGGAGGUGGGGGCGCUACCCAGCCCAGGGGCUAGAUCCUACUGAGCCCUGUUGCAGUGGCAAAUCCAAAGUGAACAAGGUUGAAAUGCCCACUGGCUCAUACUAGGCAAGACCUUGGGUAAAUUCUGCCUGAGAGCUGAGAGGUGACCCACAUCCCAAUCAGAAGUGAGCACAGCAGUUAAUCAACAGAAGUGGUAACUCGAGAAACCUAUGAUGUGAAUCAUGCUUGCGUUCAGUUUAAUGUUGAUAAUAGAUGGUGUUUUCAUUGUGAGUGCCCCUUAAAUGUCUCUCUUUCUCUUUUCAAAAGGCAGCUUCAGGGCAGGAUGAGCUAGAGUUGGGUUUGUUUUUUGUUUUUGUUUUUGUUUUGGCUUUUUGGGUUGUGUUUGCUUGUUCCUUUGUUUUUUUGUUGUUUUGUUUUGUUUUUGUUUUUGAUGUGUGCAUUUGGAGAAGCCCUGCAUUAGGGCCUGUCUCUGGAGGGACUCCUGUCGGCCCACUCGGUGGUUUGACAGGCUCUGUCAGCAUCCAGGGUUUGGAAGAUACAGAUCCUGCAGCCUCGUUUGCAUAGGGCCAGAUGUCAGUCACUGUGCCAAAAGGCAGAGCGGAAUUGCUUAGGGCGGGAGGCAUCGCAGGCUGUGCACCCUGCCCACCCCCAAAGUCCAUGUCUAGGUUGAAAGGGCCGCACCAAGGAAUCAGGUCCACAUGGGUGGAGGAGGUUCAAGAGCUCUGAGAGGAAGUCAUUGUGUUGCAAGACAGCUUCAGUCCUACCUGGCCCUCAAGAAGGGAGGCCGUGGCUGGGUGUCUGCUGACUCUUCCGUGGCUCUUCUGAGAGUAGAUUUCUUAAGCAUGGAAAAGGUCAUUCCCCUGACCUCCUGAUGGGCCUCCCUCCCCUCUCCCAGUCCAGGCAAGCCAGUUGUCCCCGGGUCUCUUUGGUAUUUCAGGUGUUGCCUGUGUCGGACCCAGACUGAGUUGUAGUGGUUCAGCGGUCAUGAGUUUAGCAGGUGGGCCUGCGGCGGGCAGCAGAGUGGAAGAGCGCCUCUGGGAAGAAGGCAGGGCCUUGCCCCUUGGCAGAGGCGCGCCGGCACCGAGGCCACCAGUCCCUCUGGUGUGGGCUUGCAGGAGGGAGGGACACUGAGUGCUCUGGCUCCCCAUGGGCCCCUCGUGAUGCAUACCCUCAUUUUCUGCCACCUUGGAGGGUUUGGCCGAGUUUUUCUUAGUGCCGCUCAUCCCAGGCUCACCCUGGCGGAGGCACCUCUUGAGUGGCUGGAUUUGCUCCGCCCACCAGCCACAUGGGGGCGUGGCAAAGGAGGAAAUGUGCCAGGUCGGGGGUCCGUGCCCAUGACCUCUUCACAAAAGGAAAGGUGUGAAGGAGGAGCCCCCGGGGGCCUGUCCUGUCCCCUGCCAGAAUGUCCCCGGCCAGAACACAGAGUCUCCGCCUCAGCCGGGGGCCAGCUGGCCAGGCACAUUGGCAGAGCGGCCCUGUGGGCUCGCUCUCCCCCUCCCUGUGUCCAUGGUCCGGUGCCGGGGGCCGAUCGGCCCCAGCUUUGCUCGCGCUGGCCGGCCUCUAAAAGCUUGCCUUUGCCCUGGCUGCAGCUCAGCACCCCACACUGGCUGGCACUUCGCUGCUGCCUGGAAGGAAAGAAGAAAGUGGAAGCCACGUGCCUGGCUUGGUCAGGCCAGAGGCAGGUGUACCUGCCCAGGGCAGGGGGAAGCCAAGGGGAGGGAGAUGCAGGACUUCUGGGGGCCAGGCUGGCUCCCGAACAUGUAGUGGGGGAGGAAUGGAGAGCAAGCCCUGGCCACGGGCGCCAUGGGGAGUUGCGGCCAGCAUUUGAGGUCCUGGGGGAGCAGCCGGCAUCUCGGUUGGCCUGUCCUUGAGGCCCAUGUGGAGAGGUGACCUGGCCAGACCCUCAGCGGCCUGCCUAGGGGGUGCCCCUCCAGCCCUGCUUGUCUGUGAGUGCACAGGGGGUUCCCCAACCAGCCUGGCCAAGUUUCCACAUGCUCUUUGCCAGCGUGUGGGAGCUCUGUGUGUGUCUGAGACGGUGUUUGUGGAAGCUUCUUUUAAACCGGCCCUGGGAAGGGAGAGGAGUGUUCCUUCCAGUCCCCAGGUAGCCUUGGCUAAAGAUUUGGGCCCAUGAGAACAGUGUGCUCAGCUGGCCAACUCGCAGCAUCAGCUCACGGUCACAGAGAGAAGGUCGUGCCUGCUCGCGGCCCCCCCUCCCCCACCCCCGUAUUUGGUUCCUUACACCAAAGAUGAUCGGGGCCCAUCUUCUUCCCGGAGGCCCAGGGCCACGUUCCUCUGUCAGCUUGCGAGGAAGCCACCGCCUCAGUCUCCCAAGCCAACCGUCUCUCUUUCUCCUGCGACUUCUCAGCAUCCACAGAAGCUGCUCGCAGGGCGGUCGGUUCCCUUUCUUAUCCGGUACCCAAGUCCAGCUCUCACAUCAUCCCUCUGGCUGCAGCCUCCAUUGGGCCUUGGUUCUUCGUGCUUGUCGAUAUAAUGCAGUGUUUUGUGGUGCGAGCGCAGCUGCCCACACAUACAUCGCAGGGUAUCAGCACGUCUCUGUGUGCUGGUGGUAGGUCUGGGCUGACAGAAGCCCCUCCCUACCUCUCCCUCGGCCAAAAAGACUGUCUCGGACGCCCAUCCCGAGUCAUCCAAAGUGGAGAAGGGGAGGUGGGCGAGGGGAGAAGGGCUGGUGUGGCACUGCCCUGGCCUACUGGGAAGGAGCGCCCUCACUGCACACCCCGCCCUGCCCUCUGGGCGGCGGGUUGGGGUCCUGAGAGGGAACGAGCCUUGCUCUUCUGUAUAUAGAGUCGAGCCACUCCUGCUCAGGAAAACCUAGUCGCUUGUCGUUGCCCUUGUGACAUUUUUGUACACUGGUUUGCUACUCGUGGCACGAAACAAACAAAACAGAGGCGUUUUUCAAGCCAAGCUGUUGUUUUGGAAACCCGCUUUCUUUCAGUGUCCGUUUUGUAUUAUAUUUGGAAGAAUUCUUCAUUUCUCUUGGUGUCAUUGUGGUAGACAGGAUAGGAUAGUCUGACUUGUGAUUCUUUCUGCCAGGAAAAUGGCAGUGCCUCUGUCAUUCCCCCCACCCCCACCCCAGUCCUUCCUCAUUCCCAAGGUGGGAUUGCUAUGCACUGGGCAGACCCCCCCCAACCCCCAUCACCCUGUCACCCGCCCCCCACAGUGGCUUCCUUUCGAGCCAGCCUUUGUGCCCCCACUCCCCCUCCCCCCAAAAAAGGCUGCAGGAUGAGUAUUUUUGCCAAGCUGGUUCUUGGGUGCUCUGUGCCCGCCACCAGUUUGCUCACCUCUUGGGGCAUUUUGUAAUGUUUUCUGUUUUGUAAAACCUUUUGAUUGUACUGAAAUGGUUUCUGCGGUCACCUUUGGAAAUAAAUGGUCAUUAAUUUGUGUACUUAGCAUUCUGAAUUUUAGUCUGAGGUGUUUCUGUUGUUGAAGAUCCCUGAAUGAAAAGGAACCCUCACCACGGGACUUUACUGUUAAAUCUUUACUUCAUUUACUGUUAUUAAAAGAUUUAUGAGAACCCGGGAGUCUUGGCCUUGCUUCCCAGAACCCUCUCAGAAGGGCUUCCGCUUUGGAAAGUAGACAAAAGGGGCCACCGGUGGCCCAGGCCGUGGAGGGACCGCCGAGGGACCGCUGGCAUGCUCAGCACAGCUCUGCCCCAUGAGUUGCGUGGCCGGAUGUGCAGCCUCAGAUUCUCCUGCACUGCUUGCCUCCACCAGGGCUGCAGGGAGCUGGCAGGCCUUUAGCUCGUAGCAGGGCUUGUGUGUCGGGCUCGCGGGGUCCCACGUGCGCUGGGCCAGGCUGGAGGUCCGGGCUAGAGCAGGCAGCUCUGAAACCAGAUGUGAUCCGGCUCCUUCAUCCCAAGUGUCCCGAGGGCCCCUCUGCUGAGCACCGGUCAGAUCCUCCCCGGGGGGGCGGCGGGGAACAGGCCUGCCUGGGGCUUCCCGCUGAGCAACCCCUGGUGACUGAUUAGCUCGGCCCGCCUUUAAGCCCAGUGGAGGCCCUACUCUGUCUUUUGACAGUGCGGCUGCUUCUAGAAGGGACACAGCUAGGCACAGCAGCCCCAAGGGCAGGUGCAGCUAGCUCCUCCUCGCUGGCCGGGGUUGGGCACCUAGGCUAUUGGUGAGGCUGGGCCACAAAUCCACUGGCAAGAUUUGUUCGCUUGCAACCCCAGGUUCUCCAUCAACAAAGCUAUAGCUAUAGCCGUGUGCUGCGGCUCCGUCACACGCAUUCGGGAUGGAAUGCCCUCAGAUGUGCGCCGUGCUGCCUGGCAUGCUAUCUCCAUGGAACAGGCAGAGAAAGCCGAGGCUCAGAGCCCAUCGAUGAGAGAGCUGGCCUGGGAAGCCAGUUUCGUGGGGCUCCAGAGCCUCGGUGCCGGGCACUCUCCCCUGGACUCCGCUGCCUGUCUGGGGUGCUGGGAUGACCGGGUAGACCCUUGCCCAGGACCCCCAGGCCAGAGAGGAACAGGAAGAGAGCCGGGCAGUGAUGCAGAAGGCAAGGCAGAGGCAGGGGAGUCAAGCCCAUCUUUUCUCCCGCUGCCGCACCGGUAGACCUGACCCUGGCGAGCCUCCGAGCCCCUGCAAGGCCUACGAGUAAACAGAAUGGGGAUCAAGGGGCCAGGCCUUGCCUGGCCCCGGGGAGAGGCUGCCAGAGGGAGGCAAGGAAAAUAGGCCCUGUGGUCUAGGUGUGUGUGUGUCCCGUUUCAGAAAGAGCUAAACACCCAUGACCUAGGCCGUGGCCCCCUCUCCCCUGGGCUAAUGCAUCUGCCCCCGCCGAAGGUCUCUGCUCCAAUCUGUACCCUCUACUCCAGGCAACAGUCUUCUCGGUGCCAACCUGACAGCAUCACUUUCUGGGGCUCAUCUCACCCCCACCUCUCGCAAAGACCCUCCCACAGAGUCCCUUGUGCUCCAGCCAUGCGGAACUCCACUUAUUCAUUCUCUGCCAUUUCCCGCUUCCUCGCCUUGUUCUUCGUGCUGUUUCCACAGCUACCCCCUCUCCCUGCUUGUCCAGAGGCCUCAGCUCAAGUGCCAGCUCCUGUGCCCGGCCUUCCCCGUCCGCUCAGCUCCUACAGCCCCUGGUACUCACUGUGAGGCCCCCAUUUGCCUCCUAGUGUGGAAUUCAUCAUGGCGCGCCUCCCGCUCUCCCUCUGGAGACGCUGAACUCCUUGAGGGCAGGCUGGGUUGUGCCUCAUCCUCCAGCCCCUGGCCCAGACCUGGUCCUUGGAAGGUGUUCAGUCAAGAGUGCUCUUAUCCCAGAGUCCUGCAAAAUGGUGGGAGGCGCCGUGGUCCCCUAGUGAGAAACCCUGGCCCCACAGGCUCUUGCCCAUCCCCUGAGUUCUGCUGCAUGGGGCUGUGUGUUCGGAUGGCCCAGGCACCUCAAGCUCCAGCCUGUGGGCCUCCUGGCGGGGGGGGGGGGGGCAUCCUGCUUCUCUACUCUUACCCCCCAAGCCCCCUCCCCCCUCUACCCCCUGGGAGCCAGGAUCCAGGAUGAUGAGGCCGUGUUAUCAGGAAAGAGAACAGAGACGAACCCUUCCCUAGACCGCUGGGCAGGUGGGCGGGCAAGACAGCCAAGGGCCUUAAUGCAUCUCCGGUAGCCACUCAUCCCCCCGCCCCAAGGGUUUCCCCCAUCCACUCUGCUCCUGGAGCAGAGUCGGUGUUUGUUUGCGUGACAAAAGCCCCACCAGCCCGUGGAAUGUGUCACCUACCCCUCUGAGCCCCAAGGAGUUUUCCCCUUGUCCUGGUUUGCAAAGGCCGGCAGGGGAGCAGUGAUCCCCAGAUGUCAGGCUGACAGAUGCAGAUGCGUGUGGUGUGCUAACCUUGGCAACCAGCAGGGCCGGCCCAGUCCCAAAGUCAAGGACUCUCUGUUAGUGCCGGUACCCACCUCUCUCCCAGGCAGCCUCAGCCCAGCCUCUAAGCUGCACAGCUUGGGUGUUUGAGCUGUUCCCAGGGAGGCAGUAGGGAAGGCUGCCCCUUUGCUGAUGGAGAACACACAGGGCUCAGCCCUUCACAGCUGACUUCCUAGGCCAGCCGCUCGCCUCGGAGUCUCCCUAUGCGGCAGGUAAUGAUAACGAGGAGGGCCCCUCCUUGACAAAACUGAUAGGUGACAGGGCACUUGUCCUCCUUUCCAAUGACCCAUCUCCAGCUGUACCACUGCUCCAGCUGUCCGCCCCUUCCUUCUCCUCGCUCAAUCCAAGGGGCCUGCCAGAGGUGCCACCUGCUUUUAUCGGCCCUUCAGCUGCCCCGUCCCUACUUGCGGAGAGUCCCCAGCCUCCUUAUGUUUUGAGAGAAACCCUGGGUGCCUCCAGUAUUCCCCUGCCGAGUGUGGAGGGGCCCUCCUGUGGGCAGCAGGACAUACCCUCAGGCUUCCAGAGUGUUGGAGCUGACAGAAUGCCACCUUUGAGACAGGGGUUUGUAAAUUGUCCUGCAUGUCAGAAUCCCCUGGGGACCUUUAAAAAAAAAAAAAAAA
This 6849-nucleotide long non-coding RNA is filed under the name Sus scrofa (pig). RNAcentral's name for it is "lncRNA (ENSSSCG00055017075.1)". Lineage: Eukaryota; Metazoa; Chordata; Mammalia; Artiodactyla; Suidae. The record is from RNAcentral.